RNAcentral lists this unclassified non-coding RNA (1169 nucleotides) under Diabrotica virgifera virgifera (western corn rootworm). Its description in RNAcentral is "zinc finger protein 160-like". Lineage: Eukaryota; Metazoa; Arthropoda; Insecta; Coleoptera; Chrysomelidae. The record is from RNAcentral.
CGUGAUCUGGCAUGGCAUAUUUUUUUAUUAUUUUUAUUAUUUUCUAUAUUGCUAGAAUCUAGAUGUAGAUAUUUUUCUGUUAUUUACUUUAUUUGCUAUGGAAGUUAAAGUUCAAAUUAAGAGAGACUUUGAUGAAUAUGAUCAAAAUUGUACCCAGAUUGGGUUAUCCACGUCAAUAGAUAUGGACAACUUGAAAAAUGAACCAGAGGAAGAACUUUUAGGUUGUCCUGAGGACGAGAAAAAACUGACACUUAUAAAAACAACAGAACAAUCAUCUCCUAAGGAACGAUAUGUGAUUCAAAACCAUGACGAUAGUACACUGAAUAAUAAUAUAAAAAUUCAAACUGGACGAGGACGUUACGGAUGUAAAAUUUGUUUUAAGCAAUUUAUCACACCAAGUUCUUUGAAAAUACAUUUGAGAGUGCACACUGGAGAAAAACCUUAUGAGUGUGAAAUUUGUUCGAAGCAGUUUUCUCAGAAAAGUAGUCUGAAAAGUCAUUUGAGAAUACAUACUGGAGAAAAAGCUUACGAGUGUGAAGUUUGUUGUAAUAAUGUCAAGAGGAAGCUUAAUGUUAAACCUUGUCCUCAAAGGGAAAACAGUUAACGCAGAUCGUGUUCGUAGCAGUUCUAAAUACAUUCCAGUUAACAAAAAGUUUACUCAAGACGAAGAAAAUCAAUCCUACUAUGUAGGGCUAAAAAAAUAAUGGGUGCGCCUGUAUUCUUCAGGUAAGAGUGGACUCUAAACAAAGUACAGACUGGCAUAAAUAAGAAAUAAUUAAAAGACUGAGAUAAUUAAGACAUUUUAUUAUAGCACUGAGUUUGUUAUUUAGAUUAAGUCAACGAUUUUAUUGCUUCAAAAAUCAAUAUAUAAUAAUUUCGUCGUUUAAUGUUAAUUUUGUAAAAUAUGUCAAUAAAUUAAAUAAAUAACUUAUUUUUAUUUUUUUAUAUAACCCUUUUAGUAUUCAAAAUUAUGUUAGACAGAUAUACAUGAAUCAAUAAUUAAUAUGACAAAAUCGUAUAUUUUAAAUAUCUAAUAUGAAAACCACGUAUAUAUAGAACUUAAGAAUGAAUACCUCGUAGGUCAGGUAAAAAAUUAAAUAAUAAUAAUGUAUGUGCAAAAUUUAUGUGUAACUAUCGAAAUGUGUCCAAAUUAAAAAUACGUAAAGAUA